RNAcentral lists this ribosomal RNA (497 nucleotides) under uncultured bacterium. Its description in RNAcentral is "partial 16S ribosomal RNA". It matches the Rfam family "Bacterial small subunit ribosomal RNA", at positions 28 to 507 of the family's 1533-position model. The record is from RNAcentral.
GAUGAACGCUGGCGGCGUGCCUAAUACAUGCAAGUCGAGCGAACGGACGAGAAGCUUGCUUCUCUGAUGUUAGCGGCGGACGGGUGAGUAACACGUGGAUAACCUACCUAUAAGACUGGGAUAACUUCGGGAAACCGGAGCUAAUACCGGAUAAUAUUUUGAACCGCAUGGUUCAAAAGUGAAAGACGGUCUUGCUGUCACUUAUAGAUGGAUCCGCGCUGCAUUAGCUAGUUGGUAAGGUAACGGCUUACCAAGGCAACGAUGCGUAGCCGACCUGAGAGGGUGAUCGGCCACACUGGAACUGAGACACGGUCCAGACUCCUACGGGAGGCAGCAGUAGGGAAUCUUCCGCAAUGGGCGAAAGCCUGACGGAGCAACGCCGCGUGAGUGAUGAAGGUCUUCGGGUCGUAAAACUCUGUUAUUAGGGAAGAACAUAUGUGUAAGUAACUGUGCACAUCUUGACGGUACCUAAUCAGAAAGCCACGGCUAACUACGUG